GACGAACGCUGGCGGCGUGCCUAAUACAUGCAAGUAGAACGCUGAAGAGAGGAGCUUGCUCUUCUUGGAUGAGUUGCGAACGGGUGAGUAACGCGUAGGUAACCUGCCUUGUAGCGGGGGAUAACUAUUGGAAACGAUAGCUAAUACCGCAUAACAAUGGAUGACACAUGUCAUUUAUUUGAAAGGGGCAAUUGCUCCACUACAAGAUGGACCUGCGUUGUAUUAGCUAGUAGGUGAGGUAACGGCUCACCUAGGCGACGAUACAUAGCCGACCUGAGAGGGUGAUCGGCCACACUGGGACUGAGACACGGCCCAGACUCCUACGGGAGGCAGCAGUAGGGAAUCUUCGGCAAUGGGGGCAACCCUGACCGAGCAACGCCGCGUGAGUGAAGAAGGUUUUCGGAUCGUAAAGCUCUGUUGUAAGUCAAGAACGAGUGUGAGAGUGGAAAGUUCACACUGUGACGGUAGCUUACCAGAAAGGGACGGCUAACUACGUGCCAGCAGCCGCGGUAAUACGUAGGUCCCGAGCGUUGUCCGGAUUUAUUGGGCGUAAAGCGAGCGCAGGCGGUUUGAUAAGUCUGAAGUUAAAGGCUGUGGCUCAACCAUAGUUCGCUUUGGAAACUGUCAAACUUGAGUGCAGAAGGGGAGAGUGGAAUUCCAUGUGUAGCGGUGAAAUGCGUAGAUAUAUGGAGGAACACCGGUGGCGAAAGCGGCUCUCUGGUCUGUAACUGACGCUGAGGCUCGAAAGCGUGGGGAGCGAACAGGAUUAGAUACCCUGGUAGUCCACGCCGUAAACGAUGAGUGCUAGGUGUUGGAUCCUUUCCGGGAUUCAGUGCCGCAGCUAACGCAUUAAGCACUCCGCCUGGGGAGUACGACCGCAAGGUUGAAACUCAAAGGAAUUGACGGGGGCCCGCACAAGCGGUGGAGCAUGUGGUUUAAUUCGAAGCAACGCGAAGAACCUUACCAGGUCUUGACAUCCCGAUGCUAUUUCUAGAGAUAGAAAGUUACUUCGGUACAUCGGUGACAGGUGGUGCAUGGUUGUCGUCAGCUCGUGUCGUGAGAUGUUGGGUUAAGUCCCGCAACGAGCGCAACCCCUAUUGUUAGUUGCCAUCAUUCAGUUGGGCACUCUAGCGAGACUGCCGGUAAUAAACCGGAGGAAGGUGGGGAUGACGUCAAAUCAUCAUGCCCCUUAUGACCUGGGCUACACACGUGCUACAAUGGUUGGUACAACGAGUUGCGAGUCGGUGACGGCAAGCUAACCUCUUAAAGCCAAUCUCAGUUCGGAUUGUAGGCUGCAACUCGCCUACAUGAAGUCGGAAUCGCUAGUAAUCGCGGAUCAGCACGCCGCGGUGAAUACGUUCCCGGGCCU
Molecule: ribosomal RNA, 1369 nt
Filed under: uncultured bacterium
Lineage: Bacteria
Description: bacterial SSU rRNA
Rfam family: Bacterial small subunit ribosomal RNA
Source: RNAcentral